UAUCACUGAGGCAAUGCCUAGAAGUCAAGUAAUCUGCCUGAAGAUAUUUUCAUUUAAGACAUUCACUACACUUGAAACAUCAGUAGCUGUGGACACUCCUGAACUCCAAGCACUGCCUGUGGCUUUCACAUUAUUGGCAGAUGAUGACAAGCAAGUCCCAUCACAUUCAGUGCAGUCAUACAGGGGAAAAGAGGAGGACUGUGGCAAGACUGCCUCAAAAAAGUUAGAACAGAAUAAUUUUCAACUUAUUCAAGUGCUAAGAAUGAGCGCCUGUUCCCAGAAAUUUCCUUCUGUUUGGCAACACUUCUGUUGAAGAUCAUGAGCACUGUAACAGAUUUGGUGUCUGCUGAGACUGUUCUUCACCUGCAUGGAUUUAAUCA
RNAcentral lists this long non-coding RNA (380 nucleotides) under Cyanistes caeruleus (blue tit). RNAcentral describes it as "lncRNA (ENSCCEG00000002868.1)". Lineage: Eukaryota; Metazoa; Chordata; Aves; Passeriformes; Paridae. The record is from RNAcentral.